UACAGAGGUCCCGAGCGUUGUUCGGAUUCAUUGGGCGUAAAGGGUGUGUAGGUGGCGCGCUAAGUCGGGUGUGAAAUUUCGGAGCUUAACUCCGAAACUGCAUUCGAUACUGGCGUGCUUGAGGACUGGAGAGGAGACUGGAAUUCAUGGUGUAGCAGUGAAAUGCGUAGAGAUCAUGAGGAAGACCAGUGGCGAAGGCGGGUCUCUGGACAGUUCCUGACACUGAGACACGAAGGCCAGGGGAGCAAACGGG
Molecule: ribosomal RNA, 253 nt
Filed under: uncultured bacterium
Lineage: Bacteria
Description: partial 16S ribosomal RNA
Rfam family: Bacterial small subunit ribosomal RNA
Source: RNAcentral